AUCCAAACAAGACAAGAAUUUGAUUAUGAGAAUUUUCACCGCUAAAAUGAAGAUUACAAAGGAAUGAACCUGCUAUAAGAUAAGCAGAUUCUUUAUUCAUUAAUAAAGGGGAAAAAUAACAAGAAAAAUGGAUAUUCGAGAGGUUCACACUCUCCCAAGGAAUCUCCCAAAUUCUGGCUACUUGUAACAUGAUCCUUUCUCUUAUUUAUAGUUGGUUUUCCUUGCUAAUUGGUGGUGUAAUUGUGCUGUAAUUGCUGUAAUUGUGUACCAUUAAUGCUGUAAUCAUUCCAUUUGUGCUGUAAUUGUGCAUAUUGCCUUUGUGCUUUUGGUAAGUCACAUGGAUUGUGGGCCUAUCAUUACCUCCCCCCAUAAGUUUCACCUUGUCCUCAAGGUGAAAAGAAGGAAACUGUUGCUUAAUCAUGUCAUAAGAUUCCCAAGUUGCUUCAAGUGGUGGUAGUCCCUUCCAUUGUAUUAAAACAUCCAUGUCUCGAAUAUUGCUACCUAGGCCCGAUCGCACCCAAAGUAAUGUCUCUGGUUCAACCAACAUUUCCAACUCCUCAUUCAAUUGGCUAGGUACUUAUUUCACAGUUUGCACUGCUCCCUCUGCUUUGCAUAGUUGGGAUACAUGAAACACGGGAUAAAUAUUACACGACGGAGGAAGAAUUAGCUUAUAAGCAACCUGAACAACCCUCUGACCAACUACAAACUCUUUUGCAAGAAAUCCGGCCAUGGUCAUCUUGAAAGAGGGACGUUUCAACCCUUUGAAGUGGAUAGACCAACUUAGCCAGACAACAAUCACUAGUAUAGUAUCCAAAGCAACUCCAUAUCUAGUUGCCUCUACUGGCAAGAUGUCCAAUUUUUGAGCCUGAUGAGUUGUAAACAAUUGAUAGCUGGGUGCACCAUCGAUUAAAAAUAUCAUAUGGUCAAGAUCAAUUUGCCUCGAAAACUUUAUCAUCCUUGGAAGCUCCAUUUUUUACUCACCCCCAUUUUCGACCUCUAAGAGGUAUACUUCUUCUAAAUUAUCAGCUACCACCAACACUUGUAACCCUCGAUUUUCACAAUUAUGGCCAAGUGGAUUUUCCUCGUCACAAUGAAGGCAUAAACCAUUUCCACACUCUUUCAAAGAUCCGGAACAGUGAGUUGAUUGGGUGGUGGUGAUUGCUUUAGUUUAUCAAAUUUUGGAGUAAUGGAAACUAAGUUUUGGAUUGAAAAUGAAGGGGCUUGGUACGCUGUCUGGGGUGAAAAAUAAUAAGGGCUAGAAUUAACAGUUUGGCUGGAAGUGUUGUUAACAUUUGGGUGGUGGUUAUUGUUUUUAGGGGUAUAUGGGCCAGAGUUAGGUUGGGCUCUUUUUAGAUACUCUUUUUGGUCCAUAUCCCUUUGGGAUAACUUAAUAUUUUGGUCCAAACCAUGUAAUUUAAGCCUUUUAACUUCAGUUUCACCCAAAUGUUUCAGCCCAUUUUCGCCAUUCCCUCCCAAACCCAAUCUAUGAUUUCUUGUGUCGGCAUAUUCCUGACGGCAGGUGAUGGUGGUUUCGGCCAGAAUGACUCCCCCUUCUUUCUCCUUUCUCUCCCAAUCUUCAAUUUCUUCAAUUUUUGGUGCAAUUUCAAAAUUGAUGGUGGGCUCUGGCGAAGUGAUUGCGACCUCCUUUUUCUUCCUAUCCGACUCCUUCUGACGGCACUUAAUGAGGCGACUUACUCCAGCUUCCUCCAAUUUUGGGAAAAUUUUCGAAGUGAUGGUGAGUUCCGAUGAAUUUAAUACUGUCCCCUUCUCAUGCUUCCCUCGUUCCAGCCCAUUCCAUCUUCGCGCCAUCCUCUCUUUCAAAUCUCCCCAUGUUCGCAUUGGUAGUUUAUCCUCAAUUGUUUGGGCCAACUCCAACUCCAAAACCAAACCCAAUUGUUUGUUCAUAUGAAUUUCAGUUGUGUCUGCCAGCUUGUUACCUCCUACCAUUCCACGUGAAGAUGAACCAAAUGACUGGGAUCGUUUCUGUCUUUCUCCUUUCACAGCAACCCCCUGCCUCAUCCUUAUCAUGUUCCUAGAAUCCGGUGUGGUUGGUGUUGAAAUCCUUCUAAUGCUCUUCAUAAUCUGACAGGCAUAUGUAGCUUUAGACAAUGUAGUUUGUUGAUCUUCUGCCGUCACAUAUGGGUCAUGCAGCCCCUGAUUUUUAUUGUGAUGCCCAAUUGAUUUCUUCUCCCGCCAUCUAUGGUAUAAUCCUUUCCCUUGUAGCCUUGGUAUCAUGGCACCAGAUAGUAGUUUGAAAUUAGUGGAAUCUUGAUUUGGAAUUUGCAGAACUGAACUGAGAGCUUCACCUUCAAAACAUAGUGCCCCCAUCUCCAAUUUCUCCGCCUUUGUCAAUUGAUUUACCAGAGAAUAACGUUCUGCCCCGAAGAUCCAGUCAUCUAAAUUUUUUUCCAAGAACACAGGCAUCUCUAGUUUCCUUCCUUUGAGCUCGGGCCUCCACUUUUCCCCCAAGCCACCAUCAACGACCCGACUGUUUGUCUCUAUACCUGAGGAAUUUUCAGAAUAAAGAGCAUACUCUGAGUCUUUCCCUCCUCCUUGCUCCUUACAUUUUCUCUCCUUCUCCGCUUCCUUCCACUUUGUUCUCAUGAAGGUGAACUACUCCAGGAUGAUUUUCAUAUUUUUUUCAAUAUUUUGUACCCUGUGCAUUUCCACCUGCAUCUUAUCGAACCCAAUUUGUAUCUCCUCCAUCUGGCCCUGCAAUUUUUGGUGAACCCUUUCCAACUCUCCCACACGAUCCGAUAAAUUCCCCAUCCCGAUCGUAACGGCUCUUAUACUAAUUUGAUAGAUCCAAACAACACAAGAAUUUUAUUAUGAGAAUUUCCACCCCUAAAAUGAAGAUUACAAAGGAAUGAACCUGCUAUAAGAUAAGCAGAUUCUUUAUUCAAUAAUAAAGAGGAAAAAUAACAAGAAAAAUGGACAUUCGAGAGGUCCACACUCUCCCAAGGAAUCUCCCAAAUUCUGGCUGCUUGUAACAUGAUCCUUUCUCUUAUUUAUAGUUGGUUUUCCUUCCUAAUUGGUGGUAUAAUUG
RNAcentral lists this long non-coding RNA (3046 nucleotides) under Olea europaea (common olive). Its description in RNAcentral is "long non-coding RNA (OEUR_LNC000565)". The record is from RNAcentral. Lineage: Eukaryota; Viridiplantae; Streptophyta; Magnoliopsida; Lamiales; Oleaceae.